RNAcentral lists this microRNA (21 nucleotides) under Citrus sinensis (sweet orange). RNAcentral's name for it is "csi-miR160a-5p". Its record names the gene csi-miR160a-5p. Lineage: Eukaryota; Viridiplantae; Streptophyta; Magnoliopsida; Sapindales; Rutaceae. RNAcentral also lists the same sequence under 2 other names. The record is from miRBase by way of RNAcentral.
GCCUGGCUCCCUGUAUGCCAU